CAUGAAUAAGCAUCGGCUAACUCCGUGCCAGCAGCCGCGGUAAUACGGAGGAUGCAGGCGUUAUCCGGAUUUAUUAGGUUUAAAGGGUGUUCAGGCUGUCUGGUAAGUCAGAGGUGACAGUCGGUUGCUUAACGAUCGAAUUGCCUUUGAAACUGUCAGACUUGAGUAUGGAUGCGGUAGGCGGAAUGUGUAGUGUAGCGGUGAAAUGCAUAGAUAUUACACAGAACACCGAUUGCGAAAGCAGCUUACCAAACCAGCACUGACGCUGAAGCACGAAAGCGUGGGUAGCGAACAGGAUUAGAUACCCUGGUAGUCCACGCAGUAAACGAUGCUCACUCGCUGUUGGCAAUAGAUCGUCAGCGGCUAAGGGAAACCGAUAAGUGAGCCACCUGGGGAGUACGAUCGCAAGAUUGAAACUCAAAGGAAUUGACGGGGGCCCGCACAAGCGGUGGAACAUGUGGUUUAAUUCGAUGAUACGCGAGGAACCUUACCUGGGCUUAAAUGUACGAUGCAUAAGUGUGAAAGCACUUUUUCCUUCGGGACUUUGUACAAGGUGCUGCAUGGUUGUCGUCAGCUCGUGCCGUGAGGUGUCGGGUUAAGUCCCAUAACGAGCGCAACCCCUAUUGUUAGUUACCAGCGCGUAAAGGCGGGGACUCUAGCGAAACUGCCGGUGUAAACCGCGAGGAAGGUGGGGAUGACGUCAAAUCAGCACGGCCCUUAUGUCCAGGGCUACACACGUGUUACAAUGGCCGGUACAGCGGGCAGCGAGGCAGCGAUGCCGAGCGAAUCUCGAAAGCCGGUCCCAGUUCGGAUUGGAGUCUGCAACCCGACUCCAUGAAGGUGGAAUCGCUAGUAAUCGCGCAUCAGCCAUGGCGCGGUGAAUACGUUCCCGGGCCUUGUACACACCGCCCGUCAAGCCAUGGAAGUCUGGGGUGCCUGAAGGCCGUAACCGCGAGGA
Molecule: ribosomal RNA, 958 nt
Filed under: uncultured organism
Description: bacterial SSU rRNA
Rfam family: Bacterial small subunit ribosomal RNA
Source: RNAcentral